This is a long non-coding RNA of Chelonia mydas (Green sea turtle), 2619 nucleotides long. RefSeq lists it as uncharacterized. The transcript has 3 exons. Lineage: Eukaryota; Metazoa; Chordata; Testudines; Cheloniidae. The record is from RefSeq and is a predicted model, not a curated record.
GUCCAUCCAAGUUUGGUAAGAGAUGUGCCUUUUGCUAUGCUAUCACCAUGCCGAUGCCCUCAGAUCUGUAAGCAGGCACAGCUAAGCUUAAUCACUGCUUGGAUGGCAAAACCUGCAAGGAAGAGGUCCAGGAUGGAAAUUCUGCUGACAGGAUGGAAUUCCCCCAUGCAGAUUUACCAGUAGCACAGUUGUUAGCACAUCCUCAAUCAAAUCACCAGGAGGGCUGACGAGAUGUCUUGAAACACAAUGACUCUGCCAUUACUUCAAAGGCUUACUCUUUCUAAGGCCCUGGUCGUGCAAGGUGUUCUUGGGAGGAGGCGACAUCUGUCACUUCACGUGGGGACCUAUGAAUAACUUCUUGCCGGAUCAGGGCCGACAUUUGCUAAUUCACUCAAAUCUCCUCAAUAUGUAUUGUUGUUUUUACAGCACCCAAAGCAGGGAUAGGUGCAGCACAUAAACCGCAUGGGAUCCCAGCCUCAGAGCUCACAAUCCAUGUCCCCCAUCCAGCAAUUGGAUUUGAGCGAGCAGACCCCUGUGCCCAUGCAGACCUUCACUGACUGCAGUGGGACCCUGUGCAGGGGUCCACCCAUACGGAUCCAAUUGCAGGACUGGGGCUUAACUGGGGAGAAUACAACAGAAGGGGGAAGGGAUGCAACCCAAGACUCUUCAAAAUCCAUUCUAAUCAUCGUGUCUCUGGGGCUUUUUCAGCCCUUGCCAUUUUGCUGAUUUUUAUUUUCUAUUUUUCCAUUUGUUUGAUUGUAACCUUUUCAUUUUUCUUUUUGUUUUUUAAUCCUUUGCUAUUUUUCUUAUUUCCACCCUAACCCUAUGGGACUUCCCCACCCCAAAACAAUUUCAAGCACUCCUCUUUUCUUUCACAUUUACACCAGAGUAACUACAUCUUGGCCACACUCUCUGCUCCCCACCAGGGACUUCUCUCCUGACAGUCCUACCCGUCUUUUUACUCUUAGGGUCCUAUAGCCCAAGUGUCACUGAAUGAAAGUUAGUUCUGAUGGUUAGUUCUGCUGACGUCAAUUACCAAAGGCCAAAAUGAGAAAACUUUGGUGGAUGGAGAUUUGCCCUGAUGACAUCAGCCUGCUACGUGGGACGCUGGAAGUUCUUCCCUGCUCCGUUGGUGUCCUCCAAGCUUUUACCCUGGUGUAUCUCCCCUGAUUUCAAUGGAGUUACCCCUGGUUUACAUCACUCUGAGUGAGAGAGAGAGAGAGAAUGUGGCACAAGAUCUUUUAACGACCACUUGAACACAUGUAUGUUGCCCAUUUGGUUGGGGUGAGGGAAGGCCACAGGGGCCUGAUUUCAUAAAAUAUGAGAAGUGGCAGGUUUGAAUUCUUACAGGCUGUGUGUUUGCAACUACAAGUGCUCUUAAAAGAAUGUUUAUGUUAAGUAGCCCAUGGAGGGCUAUCAGUCUGAAAAAAUGCCAGUUGCUCUUCUCUUCUUCCUGAAGUGAGCCUAAAAGAGCCCUGUGAAUCUUAUACAUUCAUGUUUCUGAAUAUAUAUAUUCCUGUGAUCGUGACUUGGGAGGCGGGGGCGGAAAUCUACUUGUUUGUUUAGAGAAUAUCAACAUGAAAUGACCGUAUUUGGAAAUGUUACAUAAUUUUGUCUGCUUCCUCUGUGCACUUAUUUCAUUCCCACCAGCUCAUUGAUACAGUAGCAAUGACAGCAUAAGCUCUUCCCAUACAAUUACACUGGAGCUAUAAAUAGUAUAUUGCACCGCAAGGCAAAGUACAAAUCCCGGCAUUGGUGGGAAAAGUAGAAUUAAAAGAACGAUUCCAAAAAAUGAGGCAUUUAGUUCUUUGGAUCCAGAUGAGCUGGAAGGAUUUGCUGCUUUAGGCCUGAUUCAUGCUGGGCCAGGAAUAAAGUUAAAGAGCAGAGUGUGAGCAGAAUUUAAACAUAGCUCCAGCUAAACCAGUUUCCAACACAUUUUGACCAGGUAGGGCCAGAUUUUCAAGGGUUCAGCUCCCAUCUGGCACUGAAACAAGAACCAGCUAUUCAAAAGUUCUCUAGCACCCAGCAGCCCCCGCUGUGAUACUUAUGGCCACAUUUCCAAGACAGCUCAGCACACUGGGUGCCACUGACUUUGGUGCCUGAUGGGAGCCGAUCUCUUCUGAAAUUCUAGCCUCAAUUGUGGGUGCUGAAUUCUUUUGAAAAUCUGACCCAGAGUAUGGAUGGGGCCAAUCGGUGUUCAAACUAGAACAUAUUUUAAAAAUAUAGUUGUAAGGCCUAAUCCCAGUCCCACUGAAGACAACUGGACUGUUGGCAUUGAUUUAACAGGAAGUAGGAUCUGGCCCUAAGACUCUCCUGUGGGGCUCUCUACGCUAGGAUUAGCACAGGGUUCUGGAAGGAAGCUUUCCUCAGAGCUGUGCAGUCCUAACCACUUGUUAAGAUCACUCAGAGGCGGUGCGUGGAAACACGCUGAAGGAUCACGGCAAUUUUCUGAGGAAUUGUGAAGACAGAGAAGAGCUCACUUACGGCUUUUCCAUUAUUGUUCACCCCUGCUCAAGUUAAACGGGUAUCUUGACUUUAAAACACCAGUAUAAUUUAUUCAUUAAAACAAUCCUGGUUCCUGUUGUUCUACAUUUUUAAAAUAAACCUUCUUGCAACAUC